UUUUCCUGACAUGCAGUGCACCAGAACCCGAGCCUUGUCUCUUUCACAUAGCUCUAGAAAUUCAACCGCGUCAUCGAAAGGUAAAGUCUUAUCAUAUUGGAGGCAGUGAUAAGUGAAGGAGUUCUUGUAGAGAUUUUGACAAGCAGGCACAGUGUUAAGAACACGGGAGAUUCCUUGAGUCUUCAAAAGUUCAGAGCGUGAAGCGUUAUCAUAACUUCCCAAAUAAAGAAACUCCGGCAAGAUCUCAGAAGGAAACGCACUAACUUGCAACGAAGUUUUCUCCGAUGUAGCUGGAACCCGAUGACCACAAAUCCCACAAACUUCCCCUUCUUCGUAUUUGUGAUAAUGGCCACAAACCCCACAAGGGUUCUCUCUUUCCCUCUUCCUCAUAGUCUAAAACCGCG
This 404-nucleotide unclassified non-coding RNA is filed under the name Hevea brasiliensis (rubber tree). The record is from RNAcentral. Lineage: Eukaryota; Viridiplantae; Streptophyta; Magnoliopsida; Malpighiales; Euphorbiaceae.